Molecule: ribosomal RNA, 406 nt
Filed under: uncultured bacterium
Lineage: Bacteria
Description: bacterial SSU rRNA
Rfam family: Bacterial small subunit ribosomal RNA
Source: RNAcentral
GGGGAAUAUUGGACAAUGGGGGGAACCCUGAUCCAGCGACGCCGCGUGAGUGACGAAGUAUUUCGGUAUGUAAAGCUCUAUCAGCAGGGAAGAAAGAAAUGACGGUACCUGACUAAGAAGCCCCGGCUAACUACGUGCCAGCAGCCGCGGUAAUACGUAGGGGGCAAGCGUUAUCCGGAUUUACUGGGUGUAAAGGGAGCGUAGACGGCGAUGCAAGUCUGAAGUGAAAGGCGGGGGCCCAACCCCCGGACUGCUUUGGAAACUGUAUGGCUGGAGUGCAGGAGAGGUAAGUGGAAUUCCUAGUGUAGCGGUGAAAUGCGUAGAUAUUAGGAGGAACACCAGUGGCGAAGGCGGCUUACUGGACUGUAACUGACGUUGAGGCUCGAAAGCGUGGGGAGCAAACAGA